Long non-coding RNA from Mirounga angustirostris (Northern elephant seal), 15596 nucleotides. RefSeq lists it as uncharacterized. Lineage: Eukaryota; Metazoa; Chordata; Mammalia; Carnivora; Phocidae. The record is from RefSeq and is a predicted model, not a curated record. The transcript is spliced from 2 exons.
CCACCCAGGUGCCCAGAUUGUUACUUUCUUUUCUGAGUUAUUAACAUACUCAACUUUGAUUCCUUUCCCAUAGUCAUUCUACUUUUUUCUGUCUUACUCUAAAGCCUUUCAAAGCUCUACAAUUAGAUUAAUACUUCUAAUUCUGUGUGGAAAUUUUCAUUUUCUUUUUUUCCCCCUACUUUCUUUAUAGAAACAAGGAUCAGGUAUAACGCUUUCUGGAUAAGUAUAUACCAAGGCUUUGUAAACCGGGCACUUAAGAUUCUCGUCGUUUUACAAGAGAAAAGGUUGUCUUAACUGACUACUUAUCGCAUAGGCUGCCAUUUUGGCGUGCCAAAUCUGUCGGUUAAGACUGAUUUUCCAGAUAGUGUUCCUUGGCAUAAUAAAACCAAAGCUAUUGGGGAUUCUAUAUGAUUUUUAGUUCUAAAGAAGUAACAUGAAAGUAUUGCUAUUCUUAUUUUGUAGAGCAAAAAGUAGGCUAGAAGAGUUAGAGACCUAUUUGUUAUUUAUCCAUUCAUACUGUUAGUGGUAUUGGCUAGUAUGUGGUGGUAUUACUCAACUUAAACCCAAGUUACCUGCCUCUUUGUUGAGUUGUCAUAAAUUAAAAUCAAAACACUAAGAAAAAAGUCAACACUAGAAAUACAAUAGCAAUUGGUAAUAGUAGCACAGUGUGUAAAACUUUAGCAUAAGUCAUAGUAUGCUUAUUAGAACAUUUAAAAUUUAAAAAACAUUUAAAAUUUACUUCUCAAGGCACUUCCUAAAGGGUUUUUUUUUUUAAGAUUUUAUUUUAUUUGAGAGGGAGAGAAAGAGAGCACAAGUUGGGGGGGGGGGUCCGGGGAGGGGUGGAGGGAGAGGGAGAAGCAGGCUCCCCACUGAACAGGGUGCCAGACACAGGAUUCGAUCCCAGGACUUUGGGAUCAUGACCUGAGCCACCCAGGUGCCCCUUAAAAGACUUGUUUUUAUGUACUGGGGGAAAAAAAAAAAACUUGGCAGAUUUGGCAGUCUUUAAGAUAUUGCUAGUACUCAUGUAUCAAAAUGGUGACAUAUAAAUUAGAAAAUAACAUUUUAUAUAGUUACUUGCUUUGUUAAGUUUAAGCAUUUGGCGUUAUUAAGAUUAUGUGUGUGUAUAUAUAUAUAUAUAUAUACAGACACAAACAUGCAUAUACAGACAUAUUCAUGUUUAUUUGUUUCAUUUAUAAAUCUUUUUUCUGGAAAGAAGAAUCAUUCUUUGUUUACGAAGUUACUAUCGACUGACUGUUGGGAUGACAACAGAGGAAUAUUUGAAAUACAACCUAAGUAUUAUUAUAGAGGACAUACUCAGUACUUUGAAGACUGCCUAAUAAAUUAGUGUGCAUUUGUUGACAGGUAUUACAACACAGUGAUCCCAGCCUUAGAAGAACUAAUUUAAUAAAGGAGCAACAAACCAGCACUAGGCUGAUUAAAAUAAAUGAUGUAUAAAGUGCUUUCAGUAUGCAGAGGAUGGAAUUACUAAUUUUAUUGAGGUGUGUGUGAAAAGAUGACAUUGUAAGUACUUUUAAUGUCUUUAAUAUUGUGCCAAAUGUUUUUAUAGCAUAAAACUUAGAAGUACUUUUCUUUUUAAUCAAUAGAAUCCUCAAAACCAGGUAAGUUUGUGUUGAAUAGGCCAAGGACUUUUUAACAGAUAUUGUCCUAACUAGUGGUGAAACUAGAACAUUUCCUAAGAGGGAGAAAUUAUAUUUCCAGACUUAAAAGCUCAAUUUUUUAAAUGUUUAAGUUAUAGCAACUUGAAAAUGACCAUUAAAAUAUGUAAAUACCGGGCGCCUGGGUGGCUCAGUCAAUAAGUGUCUGCCUUUGGCUCAGGUCAUGAUCCCAGGGUCCUGGGAUCGAGUCCCACAUCGGGCUCCCCGCUCUGCGGGAAGCCUGCUUCUCCCUCUCCCACUCCCCCUGCUUGUGUUCCUGCUCUCGCUAUGUCUCUCUCUGUCAAAUAAAUAAAUAAAAUCUUAAAAAAAAAAAAAUGUAAAUACCAUCACAAUACAGUGUCAGCAUUAAGAAAAAUAAAUUUUUAUAUCAGUAAUAAAUUUCAUUGAUGAACCAAUGGAGUAUCAGGUAACAAACAUGGAUGAGAUAGCAUUUGGCAUACCCAUCAAAUUGACAAAAAUGGAAAGGUCUGAUACUGCCAAGUAUUUAUGUAGAGAAAUGAGAGCUCUUUAUACAUUUCUGGUGGCAAAGUAAAUUGGUAUAGGCAGUUUAAAAAGCAAUUACCUAACACCUAGUAAUUUUGGAGAUGCACAACCCUAUGACCCUGAAGUUCAUGCCUCCAUGUGUCAACACCAGAAAGUAUUAUAUAUAUAUAUAGGAUGAUCAUUAUACUUGUAAUAGCGACAAAGUGAAACAAUAUGAUGGCCUCUUCUAAGCAGAUGAUUAAAGGGGUUUCUUUGUACCCUGAGAUAUAACAGUCAAAAUGAAAAAUUUGACUUCUAUAUUACCAACAUGGAUAAAUUUCAAAAAGCAGUGCUGAUUUUUUUUAAAGCAAGUUGCAAAAUGUAAUAUACAGUUUGGUAACAAUUUUGUAAAAUUAUAUUUAUUUUUUUAAAAGAUUUAUUUAUUUGAGAGAGAGAGAGUGUGCACAUGUGGGGGGGGGGCAGAGGAAGAGAGAGAAUCCUCAAGCAGACUGCCUGCUGAGCAUGGAGCCUGACUAGGGGCUCGAUCUCAUGACCCUGAAAUCAUGACCUGAUCCAAAGUCAGGAGUUGGAUGCUGAACUGACUAAACCACCCAGGCAUCCCAAUUUUGUAAAAUUUUAAAACAAAACAGUAGUAUACUUCUUUUAUAUAAUAAAAGUAGCAAGUGUGAAACUGUUCUCAUAGCCCAUAAAGUAUCUCUACAGAGAAAAUAAAAUGGUAUAGGUUCCUUUCUUUUUGCAAAGAUUUGACUAGAGAUUUAGGGGAUGAAAAGUAAAGUAUAAAAUUUACUGUUAUUUGAAAUUGCCAUUAACUUAGAAAAAUUUCAGUUUAUUGCCUGAUAUAUUACCAGGAGAUCAUGUUAAGUAUAAGAAUUUGGUAAUAAUUAUUAUUGAGCUUGCUAUUUUUACUCAUUAGUAAUUCAUAUAAGUUUGUGUAAGGAAUUGUAGUAAGGUUCAAAUCGCAUAUACAGACAUUUUUUAAUUGCUUUUUAAAAUAUAUGCAAAAUUUUAAAUACAUGGAUUUUGAAGAUCAAAAAAGGUUCAGCUAUCUCUAUUUUAAACUAUAUUUUAGGGCCGCCAGGGUGGCUCAGUCAGUUAAGCGUCUAACUUUUGAUUUUGGCUCAGUUCAUGAUCUCAGGGUCCUGGGAUCGAGCUGGAGCCGCAGACCCCUCGGGGCUCGGGGCUCAGGGCUCAGGGCUCAGAGCUCAGAGCUCAGGGCUCAGUGCUCAGCAGGAAGUCUGUUUGAGAUUCUCUCUGUCCCUCUGCUCCCCACCCCCCAAGCCCUCAUGCGCUUGCUUGCUUGCUCUGUCUUUCUCUAAAAUAAAUAAAUAAAUCUUAAAAAAAAAAACAAAAACAAAAACGAAAAACAAAAACUACAUUUUAAACACACAAUCAACAACUCAAGAUAAUUAUAUUAUACAGUGGUAUUAAAGAUUGUGUUAUACAAUGGUAUUUAAAACUUGAAAUAUACACAGAAGACAAUGAUGUGUGGCGGCUGAGGGGACACACAUGGAUCAGAUAGAACUGCAUUUGAAUUCCAACCCUGGCAAGUUAACUUAGCUUUCUCUGGUUUUCUUAUGACUUGUUAGUGAUAAUUCCCAUUUCAGUGUGUUGAUUAAAUGAGAAUAUAUGUAAACCACCUCAGUACAGGGCCUCCUACCCAGCAUACUUAGUUAACCAUCAGUGUAUUAAUUCUAACUUCUUUCUCCUGAAAAAAAAUCUGGGAAAUACCAUUUGGAUUUCUGUUCAGCUCUCCAAAGUUGACUUGAUCCGUAAUGUCACUCAGAGUAAUAUAAAUAGCGCCUAGAGUGGGGCAACCGUCUGUAGCAGUGGUUUGAUGAAGAAAUGCGGUCAGAGUUCCAAUUUGAGAACCCAGAAACUACUUUCCCCGCAUAGAGUUCUAGGAAUAGAAGCAGGAAUCCCCUCUGCAGGCACCCUUCUACUCCUUCUACUUGAGGAGUAGGAGUAAAUAAACCCACACACCUAAGCCAGUGGUGGUGGCUCUGGUUACCUGGGGCUGGAGCUUUUUGCGCUAGCAAGGAGCUUGAAGAUGAGAAAUGAGGUUCCAGUGAUGGGGAGGUGCUGAAACAGCAUGCAUGUGCUCGUUGGGGCAGAUGGAUAAAGGAGAGUGUAAAGUGGGGGCCGGGGUGAUCAGUGUAAUAGAACUUCUGAUUUAAAAAAACAAUACCAAACAUACCAACUAUAUACUAUUUCAAGAAAUUAUUCUUGGUAUUUUGUUGAAAUUAGAUAAUGAAUUCAUCACAUUUUAUAAUCCCAACCUUGUUUAGUUUAAGAGAACUAACUGGAUUUCCAGGUUUGUCUUCGUGUGACAUAAGUCAGUACAAACAGUGAAGGCUAUCUAUCAGCAAACCAUGUUAGAACUUUAAUGAUUAUAGGAAUUGAAGAAUACUGGAAAUAUAUCUGAUACUUCUAACUACUUGUUUUAGGGUGCCCAUAAUAAAACUUCAGCCAUGUAGUUCUUUGUGGUCAGUAUUUUUAGAAAUAAACUUAGUGUGGGGUGCCUGGUGGCUCAGUCCGUUAAGCAUCCGAUUCUUGACUUCUGCUCAGGUUAUGGUCUCAGGGUCAAGAGACCACUCACAAUCUCUCUCUCUCUCUCUCUCUCUCAAAUAAAAAUAAAUAAAUCUUAAAAAAACCGCAAAAACCUGUUUCUAUGAGAACAUCAGAUUUGUCUUAUGUUUCCACUGAAAGCACAAAAAAAACCCUUUCUGGUCCAUGUAAGCAUUGUACACACAUAGACAUUACAUGUGGUUUAUGUGAUCAGCUUUUUCUCAUUUUUGUAAUGCAGAUAAUUGAGACGUGAGUAAAAUAAUUUUCUGAAUUAAUAGAAACACAACAGGAAAUAUUACAAAUAAAAACUCUAAAAAUUCAAAUUUUCUCCUCGAUGUGAAAUCUGAUCAGUUUGCUGUCUAUUCUUUUUCCAAUAAUAAAAACUUUAUGUAAUGGUUGAAAAUAUGUAUCGAAAGAAAAAGGAUUUCCUUAAUGUUAAUAUGCUUCUUUUGUAUGUAAAACCAUUGCAUCCAAAAAUAUUGGACACUGUGUUCUUUUAGGAUUAAACCUCUAAUCUGUCUAAACUGCAGAAAAUUAUCAGUGUUGUAAUGGUCUGCAGAACAACUGUCCCCUUGAUAUUAAAUUCCGUAAAUGUUAAAGCUUUUCCUUUCCCACAGGAGGCAACCUCAAGAGCUGCUUUUCUAUUCUAAUCUCGAUAGUAAGAAGGGAAAAACUGUUUUUCUUCUAGGCACUCAGUUUGUCUUCCAAUAUUUAUACCAAAAUUUUCCUCACAAAGGAAAUCUUUAAUUAAAAAAAAACUCCGAAUUGAUCUACAAAUAAUUAGGAAAUAUUAAAAAUACCGAUUAUAAACAAAUGAGAAUAAGGGAAAAAGCCAUUUAUUUUUAAACUAAAUGCUAUACCUGCAUUAACAAAAUAUUGAAUAUAGUCUUCACCAGUGUCUUUUUAACUUGGCCAUAAUGCAUCAGUACUAGCUGUAACACUGAAAAUAUUCAGAGGUUAUUAUCUUUAAUGUAAAUAAACUUUCUUUGUAUACUUCCAUCUUUAUAUGUUGCUGACUACACAGAUAAUAGAACUAUAUAAAGCAUCAUUCACAUUUUAUCAAUCACAUUCAUUGACACUGCAUUUGCAUUGAAAUAUGAAUUCACAUUUUUUAAAAAAGGAAUACAGCAUAUUAUGGAAAGGCUACACAUUUUCUGGACUGUAAAAUUAAAAUGAGACUGAUAAACCCACAUGGUGUCUUCAUCCCUCCUGAGGUAUGUGCUGUCUAUUAAGGAAAUGAGAUGGCAGACCUCUGAAGGGGUUAUGAAUCCACUGGUCCUUAAUCUUUGUGGAUUUGUAGACUUGACAGUACUCAUAAAUGCUACAGAACUCUUGUCAGAAAAAAGUGUGUGUGCACAUAGACACAAAAUGUAGCAGACAAUUUUAGGAGCUUCACAGACCUUCUGAACACAGAACCCAUACCCUUACAUAAACACCUGAUAUUCACUGGCUAUUUGCAUGGUGACCCAAAGGUCUGGGGCCUGUGAUCCUUUGUCAUUUUGCUGGGGCACACAUUUGAGUCACACUAAAAUAAAGCUGGAAGGCCGAUGUGAAGCAACAAGUCAGCCGGUUAGUGGAGGAGCCUGGCAUUCACAUCUCAGUUUGACUCUGGCAGCUUUACAACUCAUCAUUAGCAGAAUAAUUAUCAAGAAGUGCUUAAAUGGUAAUUAUUAAGGUAUUCUGAAGGUCUCUGAAUUUCUCAUAAUAAAAAGGGUUCACUCUGCUUUCGUAUAUCCUAAGGCUCCGCAACAAGUUAUACCACAAUUAUUCUCUAAAAGAAAGCAGGCUUAUAAAAAAAAAAAAAAAAAAACCAUAAAAAAAAUAAAGUGUAUUAUCACCAUAGACAGUCAUUUAUUAACAGAUUUAUUAAAUCCCUAGUCACUGUGUAGUUUACAAAAAUAAAAAAGAUACAUACUCAAUCUUCUAAGAGCAUUCAAUAAUAUGCACUAAUUUUAUAUUUUUUAAGAUUUAUUAGAGAGAGAGCGUGCAUGUGUGCACAUGGGAGCGAGGGAGGUGUAGAGAGAGAGGGAGAGACAGAAUCUCAAGCAGAUUCCCCACUGAACUGGGAGCCAGAUUUGGGGCUCGAUCCCAGGACCCUGAGAUCAUGACCUGAGCUGAAACCAAGAGUCAGCUGCUUAACUGACGGAGCCACUCAGACACCCUAUCAUAGAAGUGAUUUUAGAACAUUAGGUAAUGUAUUUAUUGAAGACCCAUAUUUUCACCAAAUUAUUAUAAACAGCAUAAUUAAACACCAGUACAUUUUAUACAUGUCUAGCAUGGAACUUUCUAAAGUGCAUAUAAAUUAAACAUACCAGUUCUGAAUUGUAAUUUUGUUCAAGUUUUCAUUCUUUUAUAAUUCCUGCAUUAUAAGCUGAAGUAGCAAAAAAGUGAAAACUUUUAAAUUAGGUUUGUAAGAUUCACAAAGAUUUGGGGAGGGAUAGGUUUUAAUAGAUCCUUUUAAAGAUACUUUUGACUACACACCGUCAUUCAAUAGCCGUUAAGAAACAAUGACAUAUAUUUUUACAAAAGAGUUUUUUAAUUCUGAAAGUAAUAGAUGACCAUUAUAGAAGAUUUAGAAAAUACUGGCAAGUAUAAAGAAGGAAAGAAAAUCCCCCCAAUUCCACCACCCCAAAUCAACCAUUCUUAACAGUAAACUCAUUACAAAUACUACUGUGUAGAUUUCAGUUGUUUACAAAUUUAUACCAUUGAAAACAGUUUUGCCUUGCACAGUUUCUAAGCAUACUUACUAAUGAAAACACCACACAAUUUUCUAAGUAAGUUGACCCAACUUAGUAAACAAAAUUAACAGGUUUUUAUUUGGACCUUAAGGACAGUACAUGGGCUUACUGUUGGAGUUUCCCUGAUGUAGGUUUGGCAUAUGUUUUCUGGAAGCAGGGAAAGUGGAGUCAUAGGUGUAGGAAGCAGUCUCUUGUGAGAUAGGGUAGAACAAAGAAUAAACACUCGGAGAACCCUUUAGGGCCAGUUCUAGAGUAAUAAGGGCUCAAAAAAAAACUUGCAUUCGGUUUUUUGUCAUGAGGACAUUUUAACUUGCCUUGACUAGGGCCUUGACUCUCCCCUGAUAUGAACCUUUUUAGAGAGUGUUGUGGACUCACUUGUUUCUCCAAAAUUCGUAUGCUGAAGCCCUAGCCCCUGAUGUGAUUGCAUUUGGAGAUAGGUCCUCUAAAGAGGUAAUUAAGGUUAAAUGAGGUCAUAAGGGUAGGUCCCUAAUCCAAUAUGACUAGUGUCCUUUUAUGAAGGGGAGGAGACAUCAGGGAUACAUUUGCACAGAAGAGGCCACAUGAAGACAAAGCAAGAAGGCGGGGUGACCUGUAAGCCAGGGAGAGAGGCCUCGGUAGAAACCAACUCUGUUGGCACCUGAUCUUGAACGUCUUCCAGAGCUGUGAGAAAAUAAAUUUCUGUUGUUUAAGCCAUCCAGUGUGUGGUAUUUUGCACGGCAGAUCUCGCAAACUAAUACCGAGAAUAAAGCUUUUUUUUUUUUUUUUUUUAAGGAAAAGUGUGGUAGGUAGAAUCACGGUCCCCCAGAAUAUCAGGUAAUAAUCCCUGGGCAUUGUACAUAUUAUCUUAAAAGGGAAAGUGUCUUUUCAGAUUUGAUGAAGUUAAGGAUCUUGAGAUGGAGAGAAUAUUCUGGAAUACCUGAGUAGGCUCUAAACAUAAUCACAGAUGUCCUAUGAGAGGCAGAGGAGAUUUGACAGACCUACAUCGGAGAAGUUGAUGGGAUCCCUAAAGAUAGGGCCACGAGUCAAGAAAUGCUGAAGUAGAUUCCCAGAGAGCACAGCCCUGCGGACACUAAGGGUUUGCCCCAAUGCCACUGUCUGCAGACCUUGUGAGUAAAUACAUUUCUCUUGUUGAAGCUAUCAAGUUGGUGGUGAUUUGUUACAGCAGCCAUAGGAAGCUAAACAAACAGCAACUAAACACACCAAGUCCUUUUAGCAUCUUUCCGUGUAACAUUAGGGUUUUGUAUCAGAUGCUCUUGGCUUUUUAUUUUAUGAAAUAAUGAAUUAUAUUGAUUAUUUUUCUAUUGUUGAACCAUCAAGUUAUUCUUGGAUAAACUCUACUCAAUUCUGUGUUAUAUUUUGUUUUUUAAUAUCCCGGUGGGUUUGAUAAUAUUUUGUUUAUUGUUUAGCAUUUUUUUUCUGUAUUAAGGAAUGAAAUUGGGCUCUAGUUUUCCUUGUUGAUGCUGUCUUUGUUGUAAGGCUUUGAUCUUAAGGUUAUGUCAAAUUUAUUUGAAUAUGUAGCCUGAGCCCAGAUUAUGCUAACUUUGGAAGCCAGGCAAAAAAGCUGAAGCUUCUUGUGAUAGGCAUUUGGGAGCUGUUGCUGGUUCUUAAGCAGUAGAGACUUCAUAAACGGGGCAAGGGGUAGGUACUAAGACAUAACAGUGGAGCCAGAGUCACCUAUGAUUACCUGUAGAACAUUAUCAAGUCAUACAGUUUCAGAUAACAAAUCCAGGUAUUGAGUUUCUCAAACAUACUCCCCUCCAUUCAUGUUCUUAGGAGUGAAGACUUAAUGUGUGUUACAGGGCAUUCAGUCAGGAAGCAAAAGAAUUCUAAGGCACUAGAGAAUGUCCUAGUGGGUGACCAGGAGUUGACCAUAUUUAUCUCUGCCUUGUGAUUCUUUCAUUCCAUUCUGUUCUUACCUGGAAGAGGUAGCCAUCAUAGACUAAUAAACUUCGGGAAUGUUAGGGGAUGAUAGGAAUGUAUUUGUAUGGAUCACAGUUUCUGAGCAGAUGGCCUUGGCCUGUGGUGGGAGAGAGACAAGUAGGGUUAUUGCUAAGGAUCCAUUGACCUCUGUUUAACCCAAACAUUAUCUAAACACUGAAAAAAUAAUAUAGCAUACAUCUGUUAUUUCAGAUUUUCAGAUAUACUCAAUUAUUUCAUAAUUCGUCUACAUCACUAGCUGAACAAUUAGGUGUUGGAAUUUGUGGUACAUUUGGUUGUUACUGUUUUUAAGCAACAGGUACUAAGAGUGUAUACUCUUGUCCUGUGGGAAUCUGUAAAGGGUCUUGUUUUUGUUUUGUUUUUUUAAAGAGACUGUCUUCUAAACACCAACCCCUUCAUCUUCCUGCUGAGGCUAUUCCUGGUGAUAGAUACUCAUGUUUACACAGCUAGUCAGUCACAGAUUCCUUGUAAGAGCCUGUGUUUCCAAGAUUCCUUAGAAAUGCUAUGAAAAAGACUCCUAAGCUUUACAAUACUAAUUACUGGUGUUGAACUUUGAAGAAGUAUAGAUACCUGCCUCUCUUGACCGUGGGCUAUGUAUAGAUUGAAAGUUCUAUCAUUGCUUUCGGAAAGUUACAGGAUAGCUUCUGUUUUUAUAAAAUUGUUCUUAAAUUAAAAAAAUUUUUUUUAUGUACUUUUCAAUUUAGUAAGCUAUGUUUGAGGUGGCUCUGCUGGUUGUUUCAGAUGUUACGUUUUAGUUCUAGUCUCUGUUCUCAGGGUAGAUUUUUGGAAUCCUUUAUUUUCUGAGAUUUUUUUCUGACCAGAGGAAAAAUAACUAGAUAGAUAAAUAAGUAGAUGGGAAAACAGACAGUUCAACCAGAAAACAAAAAUAAAACCAAAUCUGCACAGCAGGUUUGUGAGAAGAUCUACUGUACUGAGUCGCUUGAUAGGUGUAUGUCCUUCGGUGAGCAUAUGGGCAUGGGGAUGGAUGCCUGGUGCACCAGCCAGCAUUGAUUAAGGAUGUGAAUAUGUUCCAAAUAGAUGUGUGAUCAAGGGAAGAAAACUCGUUAAUGCUCCCUGGGGUAUUAAGGAGUUGGGGGAAGAUGCAGAGUAUAAUUAAGAAGAAAUUGUGGUGUCUGUCUAGGGAUAAUUAAGUUCAAUUUAAGCCUGUUAUUCUAUUUUCGUGAAAAUGUUCCUGAAGUAGAAAAGAAUAAAUAGUAAGACAGUUUAUGUGGAUCUUAAAGAAAAGUUAGUUUUGACAGUUGCAAUUAAAUUUUAAUAGUUUAAUUUGGGAAUCUACUUAUCCUGAAAUCUCUGUUGGUAAAAACAUGGAAACUUGUAAUACGGGUUAGAAUUAUUUCGGUUAACAAUUAUGGUUUCUGUACCCAUUAGACUAUAAAACUCUUAUAUUCCAAAGGAUUUUAAAUUGACUCAUUGAGUUAUCUAGUUAAAUGGGAAUAUGCUGUUAAAAGUAGAAUAGAGUCUCCUUGUAGUCAUAAAGUUGACACAAUGCUUUAUGAGCAAAUUUAAUGUUCUAUUCAGGAACAUGAGGUUGGACAGAAAGAUAACCUUACAAGAAAUUAUCUCAGUUAUUCAUUCUGACCUUUUGUUCACAAAAGAAACUAGAAUUCAAAAGAACACAACAUUUUUUUUUAACAUUACACUUCUUUUAGUUGAUUGGUAUCUGCAGAUUGCUCUUAAUUAGACUAUAUAAAAUAUUAAUAGCACUUUGUGUUACUUUAGUUUUGUGUGUUUGUUAUUCCUUUCAGGUUGACAUCUUUCACCAUAUUUUUGCUGUCCCCCUGUAGAUUAUACAUUACAAGUCUUUAUAGGAAUCAGAUGUAUUCUAUAUUAAAUGAUUUUUUUUAAAGAUUUUAUUUAUUUAUUUGAUAGAGAAAGACAGUGAGAGAGGGAACACAAGCAGGGGGAGUGGGAGAGGGAGAAGCAGACUCCCCGCUGAGCAGGAAGCCCGAUGUGGAGCUCGAUCCCAGGACCCUGGGACCAUGACCUGAGUGGAAGGCAGACACUUAAUGACUGAGCCACCCAGGUGCCUCUAAAUAAUACCUUUUUUUAAGGGGGGAAAAAAAAACAGGAGAAAAUAUGAAGAAAUGAAGUCUAGGAACUACUUUGGAAAUGUCGGUAAUGAGGAGUGCAAAAUAAGUUAAAUCUAUAUACCAAGGAAAAGAGAUUUCACUACAAAAUAAUACGUGAAGCAAGAAAUCACGAGUAUGCUUACCCAUAUUUUACCUGAAUGCCAUUUAUUUAACAGAUAUUUAUUGAGUUCCAAACUAGAUGCUAGAGCCUUUCCUAGGCUCUGGGAAUAUAUUUGCCAAUACUGGAGUCAUAUGUGUCAUUUGUAAUUGGAUGUUCUAGGAGUUCUUUUUUUUUUUUUAAAGAUUUUAUUUAUUUAUUUGAGAGAGAGAGAGAAUGAGAGACAGAGAGCAUGAGAGGGAGGAGGGUCAGAGGGAGAAGCAGACUCCCUGCCAAGCCAAGCAUGGAUCGAUGCGGGACUCGAUCCCAGGACUCCAGGAUCAUGACCUGAGCCGAAGGCAGUCAGUUAACCAACUGAGCCACCCAGGCGCCCGGAUGUUCUAGGAGUUCUGAGAAGGAAAGCCCGCGGUACCUGCGGAGGCAGUGCCAGGAGCCUUAACCUAGAGCAGGGGACCAGGGGACUUCAGGGGAGAUCUAAGCUGGGACGUGGACUGAAACUGUACGGUUACAUCAGGGCCAGGGAGAGAGAAGGGGUUUGCAGAGAAUGUGGUAGGCAGUGGGAAUAGCAUGUUCAAAAACCCUGAAGAGAUAUGAUGUACUGUAGGGAACUCAAGAAGGUCAUGAUCACUGGCAUGCAGGCGGGGAUAGGAGGCAAAGCCAGGCUGGAGUGAUUCAAAUAGCCACACUUGAAAUCAUCUGAUUAACGUGAAGUACUCAGUGUCGCCUUAAGAUUGGAGAUACUGCCGUUGGUGUUCCUUGCCUAAUUGCCUCAAGCAUUUUUAUGUUUCUGAGAGCUGAACUCAUUGUACAUAUUUUUUUUUAAGGAAAGCAUGUGUUAGAAGUACCGUUAUUAGUCUUUGGAAGUGGUUUUACUAUUAAUCUAUUUUUUUGUUGUGGAACAUUUUAAGAACAAAGCAUUUUGAGCUUCCAUCUCCAGGUCUCUUUUUUACAAAUUGAACUAAUACUUUUUCAUUGAGAAAUAGUCCACAAAUCUUGCUGCUCAAAUAAGUCAUUGAUCUAUAUGAGGACUUUGGUAGGGAACUUGCUUAAUGUUUGUUCAGUAGAAUUGGAAGGAUGUAGAUAGGACCCACCUCUCUUUUUACUCGUCAUUGUAUCUCCAAUGCCCAGCCAUUUCCUGGUCUAUCAUUGAUGCUCUAUAUUUGUUCAUUGAAUGAGUAUGAAAUUUUGCUUUUGUUUUAAUGCCUGCUCAGUGUCUUAUAUGGUUCCAUGGUUCUGUGAUAAAAUCUAGACCUAAGGUGGAUGAAGUACUACAGUAUGACUUGAGUAAUUUUCUUUUAAAUUUAAAUAUAAGAUGGAGAAUAUUAUUUUAACAGUUUGUAUAUCACAUGAGAAUUGGUAUGUGAAUGUUCAGCUUAUGAGGCUCUUUUUGAAAUCAUUGUGUGAUAUUAAGAAGACAUUCGUUGUAGAAUAAAAUGAAUAAGAAUUGUAUUGUUCACGAAGUUUUAUACUUUAAUUGUAUUGGGAAUCACACAAAGCAGUUAUAUCUUGUAAACUAUCACAUUUUCAUUUCUAGGGAGACUGUAUGUUUUACUAGGCUUACAUCAAACUUUAAAAAAAAAUAAACACUUCAUUUACAUGCCGUAAGAUUUAUCCGUAAGUGUAAAAUUUAAUAAUUUUUCACCAAUUCAUAGAAUUGUACAACCAUUACCACUGUCCAGUCUUAGAAUAUUUGCAUCACUCUAAAAAGUUCCCUCAGGGACCUUUGUGAUCAGUCCUUGUACCCAGCCCUAGGCAAUUAGUGAUGUGCUGUCUGUGUAUACAGAUUUGUCUUUUCUGGGGAUUUCAUAAAUAUGUGAUCUCUUGUGUCAGAAUUCUUUCACUUAACAUCAUGUUUUCGAGGUUCCUUGAUGUUGUGGAAUAUAUUGGUGGUUGGUUACUUUUUAUUGUUUAAUAGUAUUUCAUUGUGUAAGUAGAUCAUAUUUGUUUAUCCAUUCCACAGUGGGUGGACAUUGGGAUUUUUUCCAGUUUAGGACUGUUAUGAAUAACACUUCUGUCACAUUCAUGUGCAGGUCUUUGUUUGGACACAUGCUUUUCAUUUCUCUUAUGCUAAUAUCUAGUAGAGUUGGUGGCUCAUAAAUGGUAAGUUUAUGUUUAACUGUUUAAGAAAUUUCUGGACUCUUCUAAAGUAGCUGUACUGUCUUACAUGUCCACAAGACUGGUGGGAAGCUUUCAAUUUUUCUUCCUCGGUAACAGUUGAUAAUGUCAGCCUUCAAAACUGUAGCCAUUCUGUCAGAUGUGUAGUGGUAUCUUAUCGUGGUUUUCAAUUUGCAUUUCCUUAAAGACUAAUGACAUUGGGCAUCUUUUCGUGUGUGUUAGUUGUCUUACAUCUGUGGUGGAAUGUCUAUUAAAAUCUUUUGCCCAUUUUUCCUGUGUUGUCUUCUUGUUAGGAGUUACUGAAAUUUUUAUAUAUUCUGGGUACAAGUGCUCUAUCAGAUUUGCAAGUGUUUUCUCCCAGUCUGUGGCAUGUCUUCAUUUUCUUAGUGAUACCUUUUCAAGAGCAGAACUUUUUAAUUUUGUGGUGCAGUUAAUCGAAUUUUUUUUUUUAUUGAUUAUGCUUUUGAUGUCAUGUAGGAAAUCUUGGCCUAGCCCAAGGUCAAAACAGAUUUUCUCCUAAUAUUUUCUUCGAGAAGUUUUAUAGUUCUAUAGAGGAAAGGAUAGUCUUUCAACAAGGGGUGCUGGGACAGUUAGACAGCCAUGUGGUCUCUUCUUUCCUUCAUAUAAUUCACUGGUGGUACCUUUGUCUGAAAUCAGUUUGUCAUAAAUGGAAGGGUUUAUCUCUGGACUCUCUAUUCUGAUGCACUGAUGUAAAUGUCCAUCUUUAGACCAAUAGCCACAUCAUCUUGAUUACUGUAGCUUUAUAGCAAGUUUUUUGAAACUGGGUUAUAAAAUUCCUUCUACCUUCCUUUCUUCCUCAAAAUCAUUUUGCCUACUUUACAUUCUUUGCAUUUCUGUAUAUAAACUUAUAUAUUAGAUCGGUUUGGUAGCUUUCAGUGAAUAGAUUUGUUUUUGUUGCUAAAUUUAUUGCUAAGGAGUUUGGUUUUUUUUAAAGCUCUUAUGAGUAGAAUUGUUUUCUCAAUUUCACUUUCGAAUUAUUGGUAGUAUAUAGAGAUACAAGUUAACUUUUACUAUUGGCCUUAUAAGCUGUGACUUAACCUCAGUGUGUUUAUUAGUUCCAGUAGUUUUUGGAGGGGGUAGAUUUCUCAGGUUUCUCUACAUAGAGGAUCACGUUGUCUGACAAUACAAACAUUUGACUUGCUUUCAAAUGUGUUUGCUUUCAACUUUUCGUUCUUACCUUAUUUCACAUUCCAGAACUACCCAUACAUUGGUGAGUAGAAGUGACUGCAGUGUAUAUAUGUAGUUUGUUUGUAUUAAUCUUUGUAUGUUAUCAUUGUCCUUGGCAUUUUGUGUGGCGACUUCAGUCAUGACCAGAAGUUGAACUUACUUAUCCUUAUUGAUUUUAAUAGUACUAUAUUUUUAAAAAGCCUCUAAACAUUCAAUAAAAUUUGAGUGAAGUUUUUAGAUAUUAACUCAUACCUCAACUUUUCCAGUUUUGUGUCAAUAGUUUCUACUUUACUUUUUUUUUUUUUAAGGGACGCAAAUUUCUGUUUUAGCCGAUGGGCUGUCCUCAGUUUCUAUAAUUUGUGUGUAUGUGUGUUUAUUGGUGCAGAUCAAGUCACUAUUCAUUCUUACCACUGUCAGAUUUUUAGCAUUUGGUUGGAAAUAAUUUGGCACUGGACUUGGUGGUUUUGGGGAACCUGGAGUUAAAAGGCAGUGCACAUAUUUUUUAUUCUCAAAGGAAAAUUUUAUGUCCUGCUGUGUUGUUGGAUACUUUGUUCUCCUGUAAACUCGCCAGCCCAUUUUUAUGUUUUCUGCAGUGACUAGUCCUGCACCUACUGUGCCAUCAGAAUUUAUUGAUGGUUCCCAGGUUAAAUCAGCACACAGGUUAUUGUCAUUUGUGUUUGAUGUG